RNAcentral lists this ribosomal RNA (253 nucleotides) under uncultured bacterium. RNAcentral's name for it is "partial 16S ribosomal RNA". It matches the Rfam family "Bacterial small subunit ribosomal RNA", at positions 524 to 776 of the family's 1533-position model. The record is from RNAcentral.
GACGGAGGAUGCAAGCGUUAUCCGGAAUGAUUGGGCGUAAAGCGUCCGCAGGUGGCAGUUCAAGUCUGCUGUCAAAGACCGGGGCUUAACUUCGGAAAGGCAGUGGAAACUGAACAGCUAGAGUAUGGUAGGGGCAGAGGGAAUUCCUGGUGUAGCGGUGAAAUGCGUAGAUAUCAAGAGGAACACCUGCGGCGAAGGCGGGUUGCUGGGCCGACACUGACGCUGAGGCGCGAAAGCCAGGGGAGCGAACGGG